Molecule: transfer RNA, 71 nt
Filed under: Patescibacteria group bacterium
Lineage: Bacteria
Description: tRNA-Gln
Rfam family: tRNA
About the family: Transfer RNA (tRNA) molecules are approximately 80 nucleotides in length. Their secondary structure includes four short double-helical elements and three loops (D, anti-codon, and T loops). Further hydrogen bonds mediate the characteristic L-shaped molecular structure. tRNAs have two regions of fundamental functional importance: the anti-codon, which is responsible for specific mRNA codon recognition, and the 3' end, to which the tRNAs corresponding amino acid is attached (by aminoacyl-tRNA synthetases). tRNAs cope with the degeneracy of the genetic code in two manners: having more than one tRNA (with a specific anti-codon) for a particular amino acid; and 'wobble' base-pairing, i.e. permitting non-standard base-pairing at the 3rd anti-codon position.
Source: RNAcentral
UGGGGGGUCGUCUAACGGUAGGACAGCGGCCUUUGAAGCCGUGAAUCUUGGUCCGAUUCCAAGCCCCCCAG